CACUCGUUUUCGGGUUUGUUGCCCGUUUGUAAAAUAUUUUAUGACGGUAUACAUAUCAAUCUACGUCUCGUCCUGCUCAGUGCGUUUUGAGGGGGUGAAUCUUUUUCCAUCUCCUGAGUCGCACCUCCCCUGGUCAGCAAAGGGUCACUGCCGCAAUGGAGUCAUCCAAACUCAGAGGAUUAAUACACAUCCAUUUAUUGAGAGCGUUCUUAACAACUGACAACAGCCCAUUGGAGGUAACAUUGCCUAAUGGGCUAAUUACAAUUCAUAAGCCUUCGAGGUAACCAGUCAUAGGAAAUGGCUGCUAUGAAGACUCAAAGAAUCGAGGAAGCCACAUCCUGGUGUCAGGUGCACAUCUUCAGUCUGAUGGGUCGUCGGAGGUGGUGGUGUUCAGUUGACGACGACAGAACAAACUUAUUUGUACGUCCAAAGUGGUGGCACUCAGCCGCCUGCCAGCACUGCCCCACAGCUGUGCCUGUGCGCCCCUGGGGG
RNAcentral lists this long non-coding RNA (492 nucleotides) under Gallus gallus (chicken). RNAcentral's name for it is "lncRNA (ENSGALG00010000164.1)". Lineage: Eukaryota; Metazoa; Chordata; Aves; Galliformes; Phasianidae. The record is from RNAcentral.